This is a non-coding RNA of Camelina sativa (false flax), 156 nucleotides long. NCBI's taxonomy places the organism in Eukaryota, Viridiplantae, Streptophyta, Magnoliopsida, Brassicales, Brassicaceae. The record is from RefSeq and is a predicted model, not a curated record.
UUAUGUCCCUAAUUCCGGAGAUGGCUUAAAAAGACUGUCAUACAGGAUCGAAGAAUGGGAUCGAACCCUCAGCAAUUACAUCAAAGAGCUGGAGAAGUCUAAGCCUGUGAUCUUGACGGGUGAUCUAAAUUGUGCUCAUGAGGAAAUAGACAUCUU